AAUAGUUUUUUAAAUGGAAACUGGGAUGAAUGAAUUGAUGAGAUUUAUACUAUCUUAAAUUAAAUAGUUAAAUUUAUUGAUUAAGUUAAAAUACUUAAAUAAUAGUAUGGGACGAGAAGACCCUAUAGAAUUUUAUAUAAAUUUAAUGAUGAAUGUAUUAAAGUAGAAAUUUAUUAGAUUUAUAUUUUGUUGGGAGGAUAGUUAAAUUAGGUAAACUUUAAAAAUAUAAUUCCAUAGAUAAAUGAAUUAAGAUAAGUAUAAGAAUAGUUAAAAAGUUUAAGUAGAAUUAAUUACCUUAGGGAUAACAGCGUUAUAUCUUUAGAGAGAUCGUAUUGAUAAAGAUGUUUGC
This 349-nucleotide ribosomal RNA is filed under the name Pheidole haskinsorum. RNAcentral's name for it is "partial 16S large subunit ribosomal RNA". The record is from RNAcentral. Lineage: Eukaryota; Metazoa; Arthropoda; Insecta; Hymenoptera; Formicidae.